RNAcentral lists this ribosomal RNA (1372 nucleotides) under uncultured bacterium. Its description in RNAcentral is "bacterial SSU rRNA". It matches the Rfam family "Bacterial small subunit ribosomal RNA", at positions 28 to 1381 of the family's 1533-position model. The record is from RNAcentral.
GAUGAACGCUGGCGGCGUGCCUAAUACAUGCAAGUCGAGCGAACGGACGAGAAGCUUGCUUCUCUGAUGUUAGCGGCGGACGGGUGAGUAACACGUGGAUAACCUACCUAUAAGACUGGGAUAACUUCGGGAAACCGGAGCUAAUACCGGAUAAUAUUUUGAACCGCAUGGUUCAAAAGUGAAAGACGGUCUUGCUGUCACUUAUAGAUGGAUCCGCGCUGCAUUAGCUAGUUGGUAAGGUAACGGCUUACCAAGGCAACGAUGCAUAGCCGACCUGAGAGGGUGAUCGGCCACACUGGAACUGAGACACGGUCCAGACUCCUACGGGAGGCAGCAGUAGGGAAUCUUCCGCAAUGGGCGAAAGCCUGACGGAGCAACGCCGCGUGAGUGAUGAAGGUCUUCGGAUCGUAAAACUCUGUUAUUAGGGAAGAACAUAUGUGUAAGUAACUGUGCACAUCUUGACGGUACCUAAUCAGAAAGCCACGGCUAACUACGUGCCAGCAGCCGCGGUAAUACGUAGGUGGCAAGCGUUAUCCGGAAUUAUUGGGCGUAAAGCGCGCGUAGGCGGUUUUUCAAGUCUGAUGUGAAAGCCCACGGCUCAACCGUGGAGGGUCAUUGGAAACUGGAAAACUUGAGUGCAGAAGAAGAAAGUGGAAUUCCAUGUGUAGCGGUGAAAUGCGCAGAGAUAUGGAGGAACACCAGUGGCGAAGGCGACUUUCUGGUCUGUAACUGGCGCUGAUGUGCGAAAGCGUGGGGAUCAAACAGGAUUAGAUACCCUGGUAGUCCACGCCGUAAACGAUGAGUGCUAAGUGUUAGGGGGUUUCCGCCCCUUAGUGCUGCAGCUAACGCAUUAAGCACUCCGCCUGGGGAGUACGACCGCAAGGUUGAAACUCAAAGGAAUUGACGGGGACCCGCACAAGCGGUGGAGCAUGUGGUUUAAUUCGAAGCAACGCGAAGAACCUUACCAAAUCUUGACAUCCUUUGACAACUCUAGAGAUAGAGCUUUCCCCUUCGGGGGACAAAGUGACAGGUGGUGCAUGGUUGUCGUCAGCUCGUGUCGUGAGAUGUUGGGUUAAGUCCCGCAACGAGCGCAACCCUUAAGCUUAGUUGCCAUCAUUAAGUUGGGCACUCUAAGUUGACUGCCGGUGACAAACCGGAGGAAGGUGGGGAUGACGUCAAAUCAUCAUGCCCCUUAUGAUUUGGGCUACACACGUGCUACAAUGGACAAUACAAAGGGCAGCGAAACCGCGAGGUCAAGCAAAUCCCAUAAAGUUGUUCUCAGUUCGGAUUGUAGUCUGCAACUCGACUACAUGAAGCUGGAAUCGCUAGUAAUCGUAGAUCAGCAUGCUACGGUGAAUACGUUCCCGGGUCU